Long non-coding RNA from Pogoniulus pusillus (Red-fronted tinkerbird), 455 nucleotides. RefSeq lists it as uncharacterized. The record is from RefSeq and is a predicted model, not a curated record. NCBI's taxonomy places the organism in Eukaryota, Metazoa, Chordata, Aves, Piciformes, Lybiidae. The transcript is spliced from 3 exons.
UGUCAUCCUGAGAGCUUCACUUUCUGACCCAGAGGUGAUUUGGUAAGAUCACUGCUUCUCUUAAUGCAGCAAGGACUCUUGGCUUGGAGCAUAGGGGUUUCCAGCAGUGAUCGCAGCUACAAGGAGGUCUGGUGAAGAAGCAAACUGAGUGAGUUGUGGACAUUUAUUCCCUUCAGCAAUGAAAAUAAAUGACCCAGCUGGGAUGCCUCAAAACUGCUGAUCGAAUUGUGACAAGCCAACCACUUGCAAGGUGACAUCUCAGCCUAUCUGAAAACAUUCUUCACCAAGCUGCCAAAGAGGUGUGUGACGUGUUGACUCUUACUUCCCCUCAACAAUCUUUUACCUUUUCCAUUCUUCUUAGAUGGUGCUGAUGAUUGGAUUUUCAGAUUCCCCUUCCUUUUCUUAUUGUACUGAGCUGGUGACAAAGACUACUUCCCACCAUACUGUACUCAUUA